UAGGGAAUCUUCGGCAAUGGACGAAAGUCUGACCGAGCAACGCCGCGUGAGUGAAGAAGGUUUUCGGAUCGUAAAACUCUGUUGUUAGAGAAGAACAAGGACGUUAGUAACUGAACGUCCCCUGACGGUAUCUAACCAGAAAGCCACGGCUAACUACGUGCCAGCAGCCGCGGUAAUACGUAGGUGGCAAGCGUUGUCCGGAUUUAUUGGGCGUAAAGCGAGCGCAGGCGGUUUCUUAAGUCUGAUGUGAAAGCCCCCGGCUCAACCGGGGGGGGUCAUUGGAAACUGGGAGACUUGAGUGCAGAAGAGGAGGGUGGAAUUCCAUGUGUAGCGGUGAAAUGCGUAGAUAUAUGGAGGAACACCGGUGGCGAAGGCGGCUCUCUGGUCUGUAACUGACGCUGAGGCUCGAAAGCGUGGGGAGCAAACAGG
This 429-nucleotide ribosomal RNA is filed under the name Gemmatimonadota bacterium. RNAcentral's name for it is "Gemmatimonadetes bacterium partial 16S ribosomal RNA". It matches the Rfam family "Bacterial small subunit ribosomal RNA", at positions 355 to 776 of the family's 1533-position model. The record is from RNAcentral. Lineage: Bacteria; Pseudomonadati; Gemmatimonadota.